UACGGAGGGUGCAAGCGUUGUCCGGAUUCAUUGGGUUUAAAGGGUGCGCAGGCGGGCGAUUAAGUCAGGGGUGAAAGACGGUUGCUCAACAAUCGCAGUGCCUUUGAUACUGGUUGUCUCGGGUGACCUUGAGGUAGGCGGAAUGGGUGGUGUAGCGGUGAAAUGCAUAGAUACCACCCAGAACUCCGAUUGCGAAGGCAGCCUACUGGAGGUUCACCGACGCUCAGGCACGAAAGCGUGGGGAUCAAACAGG
This 253-nucleotide ribosomal RNA is filed under the name uncultured bacterium. Its description in RNAcentral is "partial 16S ribosomal RNA". It matches the Rfam family "Bacterial small subunit ribosomal RNA", at positions 524 to 776 of the family's 1533-position model. The record is from RNAcentral.